AUGGUGAUGGAGGUGGUAACCGGUGUCAUGGGAAGACUACUUCCCAAGCUGGUCGAGCUGGUCGCGGGUGAGUACAAGCUACAGAAGGGCGUCAAGGAAGACGUUGAGUCCCUUAAGAAAGAGAUGGAGAGCAUGCACACUGCCCUUACAGAGGUGGCGGAGGUGCCAAGGGACAGCCUUAAUCGGCAGGUCAAGAUCUGGGCAGAUGAACUGAGGGAGCUGUCGUACGACAUGGAGGAUGUCGUUGACAACUUUCUGCUGUACGUCGAGGGAUCUGAUCCAGCAGCCAACUCGAACAAGCUCAAAUGCCUAAUGGAGAUGAUGACCGGCUAUUUCACCAAAGCCAGCGGCCGCCAUCAGAUCGCCAAUGACAUUAAGGCUCUCAAGAAACUUGCCGAAGAGGUGGCUGCCCGGCGUGCCAGAUGCCAAGUCGGCGGUGUUGUUGUCAAUCCAGCUAACAAAUCCAAGGUUGACCCUCGUAUGCUGGCUUUGUACAAGGAUCAGCAAGAGCUCGUUGGCAUUGAAGCCGCUCGGAUUGAGCUAACCAAGAGGCCGGCACUUGGUGAUGGGAAUGUGUCAAAUCAGCAGCUCAAGAUAGUCUCUAUUGUCGGACCUGGAGGACUCGGCAAGACAACUCUUGCCAAGGCAGUGUACGACAGUCUUGAAACGCAAUAUGUUCACAAAGCUUUUGUUCCGGUGGGUCGAAAUCCUGAAGUGAGCAAAGUUCUCAAGGACAUCCUCUUGGAACUGCGCGUGCGUACCAGCGAUGUAGCCACACUGGAUGAAAGACAACUUGUCGAAAAACUCCGAGAACAACUUCAGAAUGUCAGGUUCGAAGGGUGUCCACCUCAAUCAUGGCGAGUAAUCAAAUGUGCUUUGUUUGAUAACAAUCAUGGAAGUCGAGUAAUCACAACUACUCGCAAUCAGGAAGUCGCAGAAAACACCGGUGAUGUCUACAAGCUAAAACCACUUUCUCAUGAUUUGUCUGAAGAACUAUUCAAUAAAAGAUUAUUUGGUGGUAAAGAAAAUUGGCAGACUUCCGAGGUAUCAAAAAAAUUUCUACAGAAAUGUGGUGGUGUGCCGCUCGCUAUCAUUGCAAUAGCUAGUUUCCUGGUUGGUAAACCUGUGGAGGGUUGGUCAACGGUAUACAACUCUAUUGGUUUCAGACAUACAGAUAACACACAUAUUGAUAACAUGAGAAAGAUAUUAUUAUUUAGCUAUGAUGAUCUACCUUGUUAUCUAAGGCCUUGUGUAUUGCAUCUGAGCAUAUUUCCAGAGGACGCUUUCAUCAUGAAAGAGACAUUGAUAUGGAUGUGGGUAGCCGAAGGCUUUGUCAGUGAAGAGCCAGGGAAACGGUUAUUUGAGAUUGGAGAAGGAUACUUUGGUGAACUUGUAAAUAGAAGCCUGAUCCUUCCUGUAGAGCACAAAGAAGAGAAUGUCAUAUAUGGUUGCCGUGUUCACGAUAUGGUACUUGAUACAAUUUGUUGGUUGUCAGAGAAAGAAAAUUUUGUUACCAUAGUGGAUAAUAAUGGGAAAUACUCAACUUCAGAAAGCAAUAAUGUUCGUAGGUUAGCUGUCCAAACAAGAGAUGAAGAGCAGCACAACCAUUUUGCCAACACAAGCAUGCCAAAAUUGAGGUCAUGUUAUGCCAGCAGGUGUCAUAAAAGUAUGAUGCCACCACUUUCAAGCUUUCAAGUGCUGCAUGUUCUAGACUUGGAAAACUGCGUAUUUCUGGAAAACUGUCAUCUUAAGCAUCUUGGAAGGUUACAUCUGUUGAGAUACUUGAGUCUGGAGAACACAAGUAUUAGUGAGCUCCCAAAAGAUAUAGGAGAAUUAAAGUUUCUGCAGACACUAGACUUGAGGAACUCCGAGAUAAAAGAAUUGCCACAGGGCAAUAGUUUGCUAAGGAAGCUGAAGCGCCUGCGAGUUGACAGGGACCGCCGGAGCGCUGGUACCAGGGAAGAUGUAGGUAUAAAAGUGCCGAAAUGGAUAGGGAACCUGACAUCCCUGGAAGAGUUAUAUUUGAGUAUAACUGGUGAAUUUUCUACCUUCGUUGAAGAACUCGGUAAGCUGAAAGAGCUGAGGGUGCUGGUCUGUCAUUUAAUGGGAGAUUUGAAUGAGAAGAAAACUUUGGCGGAUUCAUUAAGCGAGCUUGGGAAACUCCAAAUCUUACAUCUUGAGGGCCUGUAUGGGUGGUCGAAAUCGGAGGCAGACACCUACUGGAAAGACUAUAAGCCCCCUCAGCAGCUAGGUGAUCUGUCCAUAUCGACCAGGUUCAGUAGGCUCCCGCCGUGGAUUAAGUCCUCUCUGCUUCCGAACCUCUCCAAACUAAAAAUUGAUGUAUAUCCUAUGAAGAAGCAGGAUGUGAUAAACCUUGGGGGGUUGCCAGAGCUUGUUAAAUUGGAUGAUCUGUGGAUACCGGCAGGCAUGGAGUUUGCUGAUGGUGUGUUCCCCAAGUUGAGGAGCUGCGGGAUAAAUGCACCUUUCUGGUUUCUGCCGGGAAGUAUGAAGAACCUUGAAUCCAUUACGGUGGGCACAAUGCGGAACUUGACGGAGAAGGAUGCCGUCACUGAUUUUGACUUUACUUGUACCCUGAGGAACCUCCCUUUGCUUGUGGUGGUCUUCGCUAAUGUGGAGAAGAUGGAGGCAGCGUUGAGCGGAGCAAUCCACAACCAUCCCAACCGAAAAGAACCAGCCUCCCCUCUGCAUCGUGCUGCCAGUGUUGGUACGUCUACUCAGAUAAUCGUGGAAGACGAGGAGGACGAAGGAUCGAGCUCCCAACGAGGAGGAAGAAGAAGAAUCUCAGGCAGAUCAACAGGAACAGCUGGCAGAGGAACACAAAGAAGCCGAGGUCGGGUCAGCAGAGACGACUCCACCAGAGACCCAGAACACAGUCGACGUCGCUAG
This 2907-nucleotide ribosomal RNA is filed under the name Triticum aestivum (bread wheat). RNAcentral describes it as "partial small subunit ribosomal RNA". Lineage: Eukaryota; Viridiplantae; Streptophyta; Magnoliopsida; Poales; Poaceae. The record is from RNAcentral.